CCUACGGGGGGCUGCAGUGGGGAAUUUUCCGCAAUGGGCGAAAGCCUGACGGAGCAAGACCGCGUGAGGGAGGAAGGCCUAUUGGUUGUAAACCUCUUUUCUCUAGGAAGAUAAUGACGGUACUAGAGGAAUCAGCAUCGGCUAACUCCGUGCCAGCAGCCGCGGUAAGACGGAGGAUGCAAGCGUUAUCCGGAAUGAUUGGGCGUAAAGCGUCCGUAGGUGGUUAGAUAAGUUUGCUGUCAAAGAGUGGAGCUUAACUCCAUAAAGGCAGUGGA
Molecule: ribosomal RNA, 275 nt
Filed under: uncultured bacterium
Lineage: Bacteria
Description: partial 16S ribosomal RNA
Rfam family: Bacterial small subunit ribosomal RNA
Source: RNAcentral